Molecule: ribosomal RNA, 502 nt
Filed under: uncultured Glomeromycotina
Lineage: Eukaryota; Fungi; Glomeromycota
Description: partial small subunit ribosomal RNA
Rfam family: Eukaryotic small subunit ribosomal RNA
Source: RNAcentral
CCAAUAGCGUAUAUUAAAGUUGUUGCAGUUAAAAAGCUCGUAGUUGAACUUCGGGGUCUACCCAUUGGUCAGGCUUAAUUGUCUGUACUGGUGAGAUGGAUCUCUACCUUCUGAGGAACUUUCAUGCCAUUUAUUUGGUGUGAUGGGAAAUCAGGACUAUUACUUUGAAAAAAUUAGAGUGUUUAAAGCAGGCUAACGUCUGAAUACAUUAGCAUGGAAUAAUGAAAUAGGACGGACUGAUUCUAUUUCGUUGGUUUCUAGGAUCACCGUAAUGAUUAAUAAGGAUAGUUGGGGGCAUUAGUAUUCAAUUGUCAGAGGUGAAAUUCUUGGAUUUAUUGAAGACUAACUACUGCGAAAGCAUUUGCCAAGGAUGUUUUCAUUAAUCAAGAACGAAAGUUAGGGGAUCGAAGACGAUCAGAUACCGUCGUAGUCUUAACCAUAAACUAUGCCGACUAGGGAUCGGAAGAAGUUAAUUUUUUAAUGACUCAUUCGGCGCCUUACG